UACUAGAGGUCAAACCUGGCAACGAGCACAUUUCUAUAAAUACCCACAGAAACAAAAUAAAAAAAGGAUCCAAGAAAAGAGAAAGAUAAUCACAGAGACAAUGAUGAAAACGCAAGUGACUAUAUUGGCGGCCCUUCUGAUCCUUGUGGCUUUAACAUCGAACUUAGAUAUGGUGGCGGAGGCUCAAGGUCAAUUAGGCCCCGGAGACUGCUUCGACGGUUGCAUAACGGGCUGCGUCCAGCGCGACAGUGAGUACUCUAUCUUCAGUUUUUCAUACCUUCGAUUUCUAUAAGCCCCUAUUAAUAUUUUCUCUUUUCCAGCAAAAAAGAUGAUUAAAUGCGAACGCCGAUGCGCCAAAAAGUGUGGCCGAGGUAAAAUACUUAAUUUCUAGUGGAAUGAUGAGUAAAACGGACUCCUAUGAGACUAGUCCACGAUACCUUUAUCAGAUUGGAAGCAUUCCCUCACCAGUCAGUUAAUUAAGGUUGUAUUAUGCGGUCUGAUCUAUCUACGUACCAUGCAAUGAACAUAAACUGAGAGUUUCUAUCGAUGAAAGUAAAUAUAAAUACUGUGUUUGUCCAUUAGAACCGGAUCAUAGGUUGUGGGAUGAGUUGGUUUUGUAACUAAAAGGCAACCAUAAGGGAUUUGGAAGUUUGGAACUAAUUAAUGUUGAUGUACUUUGUAAUUGCAGGUGGUAAAAGGGCAAGUGAGACUGGUGCUUAAACUUUAAAUUCAGUAAAAGAUCCAUAUAGAUAUAACUAUGUUGUAAUCUUGGCCUUGUAAUCUUAUCUCUUUAAAAUAUAUUAUGUAAUAUUGUAACCAGUAAACCAAGUGGUUGUAGUUGAUGAAAUAGUUGUCCUAUCAGGGUUUUGUAACUUAAUGAAACUAAAAGUGGAUUUGGAACCGAUAUUUAUGUACUUUGUAAUUGCAGGUGGUAAAGGCAAGUGAGACUGGUGCUUAAACUUUAUUUUCACUGAGAAAUGCGAUCCAUAUAGAUAUAAUUAUGUUGUAAUCUUGUUCUUGUUAUCGUAUCUCUAUAAAACCUACUAUGAAAUAUUGUAACCAAUAAACCAAGUGGUUGUAGCAUAAAAUGUUUCGAGAAAUGGAUCAGCCGGUCUAACUAAAAUAUAAGAGAAAAAGCUAAAAGAUUAUGUGUUUUUGAUGUCUAUUAGUGUUUUAAUGUUUGUGUUUUUUUUUAAAAAAAGAAAAAAUUGAAACGGCCAAUGACCAGCCGCCACGUGUAUUAAGAGAUAGUCUCUUCAGCUCUUUAUAUAAGAAGCAUUCCUUAGC
Molecule: long non-coding RNA, 1287 nt
Filed under: Eutrema salsugineum
Lineage: Eukaryota; Viridiplantae; Streptophyta; Magnoliopsida; Brassicales; Brassicaceae
Description: long non-coding RNA (ESAL_LNC000592)
Source: RNAcentral